GUGGAGGGAAGGGUUGGAAUUCAGGUAGGAGAGCAAAGGAAGGCCUCAAUGAGAGAGUAAGGAAGUAGAGGCAGGGCCAUGCAGAUAGCAUGAAUGUGAGGUCAAGGGAACGUGAGAAUGUGAGGCCAAGGGAACAAUAAGUGCUAAGAUCCAGAAGCAGGAGUGUGCCUGGUGUGUUGUGUGUUAUUGAAUAAAAGGAAUUUUUUUUUCUCCUGAAUUAGAAGAAGAGAAAAAGUGCCUCAAGCUUCUGUUUUACUUUGUCUGUAGAAAGCCAACUUGAAGGUUCCAAGAAGAAAGCAUAGAAGUCAUCAUUCAAACUGCAAAUUAGGGGCAGCAGCAUUCAUGAACAAUGAAAGCUGCAGGAACAUUUGAGAUACAGAUAAGGGUCACCCAGCUUCACUUAACUGUGAAAUUAAGGCUGGAGUACACUGGCAGAAUCGAAGCCCACUACAAUCUUGAACUCCUAGGCUCAAGGAUUCCUCCUGCCUUAGCCUCCCAAGUAGCCAGGACUACAGGCAUCCACCACCAUGCCCAGCUAAGGCCAAGAUGGACACCAGUGUUCCAGACCUUCCAUGGAGACAUGACAAUGCCAGCACCAGAAGAGAAUUAUUUAUUUCUGAAUACAAUUUUUAUAAGAUGGUAGGAAAGGUCUAUUCCAGAAGCCCCUCUGCAGACUUCCCUACAUUUCCUAUUGGCUAGAAAUGUGUCACAGACAUGUUAAUAAAAAAUGCCAAACUGUGUAAAAUAUUUGAAGAGAUUUAUUCUGAGCCAAAUGUAAGGACAAUGACCUCAGGAGGUCUUGAGAACAUGUGCCUGAGGUGGUUGGGUUACAGCUUGAUUUUACACACUUUAGAGAGAGAAAAACUGCAGGCAAAAACAUAAAUCAAUUUAUGUAAGGUUUAUAUUGUUUUGGCCUGGAAAAACAAGGCAUCUCAAAGUUGGGAGGGGGAAGAGUUCCAGGUCAUAGGAGGAUCCAAAGAUUUCCUGAUUGACAGUUGAUUGAAAGGGUUCAGCUUUGCCUAAAGAGUUCAAGUCAGCAGAAAGAAAGUCUUGUGGUUAAGAUAAGGAGGC
This 1071-nucleotide long non-coding RNA is filed under the name Callithrix jacchus (white-tufted-ear marmoset). Its description in RNAcentral is "lncRNA (ENSCJAG00000077678.1)". Lineage: Eukaryota; Metazoa; Chordata; Mammalia; Primates; Cebidae. The record is from RNAcentral.